Triticum urartu is the source of this 765-nucleotide non-coding RNA. The record is from RefSeq and is a predicted model, not a curated record. Lineage: Eukaryota; Viridiplantae; Streptophyta; Magnoliopsida; Poales; Poaceae.
UCAGGGAAACCGAAACCACUAUCUCCACAAGGCAGUUAAUGAGGAGAAACUGAAGCGGCCGCUCUCACACAUGCAGGCGUGGGAGAUCGCCCAUACGCGGAAGGACCCCAAGCCUGGCGAGCCCAAGUACUACAGCAAGAAGACCGCAGGGAGGAAGAAGGCCUACUCCGAAGCGUAUCUGGAGUUACAUCCUGACCCACCUGACCCCAUUGCGGUGCCUCUGGACGACAUGGCGGUGGUGAGGAUGGGGCCCAAGGAGCACGGUCGGGAGGCGGUUCUCGAUGCUGUGAUCACUCCUAGUAUCUCCUACACACAGCUUCGUCGGAUCGACCCGAGCCUGAGCCAGCGCACGAGCCAGCCAGUGACUAGUACACAGUACCUCUUUCAGGAGCAACAAUCUGUAAGUAUUUUCCCUCUUAUCUUCAUUUCUCACUUCAUUUUCCGCAUUUAGUAGUUUUAUGAGUUCCAUCAUGUCAUACCGUAGGCCUACAUGGAGUACACAUGCCAGGAGACCAUGGCGUGGCAUCAGAGGCUUUAUGAACACCAAGUGCAGAGGGAUAGCCAGAUGCAGCAGGCUUUUCAGGAUAUGGCGGCCGGCAGGUGUCCUCAGUUCCCUCCAGCACAAUGCCCUCCAGCACAACCAGUGCUGAUGAGCUUUGAGGAGUUUGUGGCACAGAACGCUGGCCCCUCGCCGGGAACAGGUGGAUCUACCGUUGGCGGUGGUCUUCGCAGCACUCCGGAGACACGGAGCCCGACCACUCCGAC